CGGGGGGUGGGGGGUCCCUCAGCCCAGAUUGCGAGAGGGUGCAGGCCAGGCUGAGGGCCCCCACUGGUGCAUG
This 73-nucleotide microRNA precursor is filed under the name Myotis lucifugus (little brown bat). RNAcentral describes it as "mir-9193 microRNA precursor family". It matches the Rfam family "mir-9193 microRNA precursor family". Lineage: Eukaryota; Metazoa; Chordata; Mammalia; Chiroptera; Vespertilionidae. The record is from Rfam by way of RNAcentral.